RNAcentral lists this ribosomal RNA (385 nucleotides) under Strophurus robinsoni. RNAcentral's name for it is "partial 16S ribosomal RNA". It matches the Rfam family "Bacterial large subunit ribosomal RNA", at positions 1967 to 2564 of the family's 2925-position model. Lineage: Eukaryota; Metazoa; Chordata; Lepidosauria; Squamata; Diplodactylidae. The record is from RNAcentral.
AUUUGUCCCCUAAAUAGGGACUAGUAUGAACGGCUAACUGAGGUUCUAACUGUCUCAUUAGACCAAUCAAUGAAACUGAUCUUUCAGUACAAAAGCUGAAAUUUACCCAUAAGACGAGAAGACCCUGUGGAGCUUAAAACUCGUACUAUAACACGUCUUAUCAAACUUUUUAGUUGGGGCGACUUUGGAACAAAACAGAACUUCCAUGCCAGGUCCCUAUCAAGGUUGACAAGCCAAAAUACAUCAUAUUGACCCAGCUUACCAAGCUGAGCAACGAACCAAGUUACCCCAGGGAUAACAGCGCCAUCCUCUUCAAGAGUUCAUAUCGACAAGAGGGUUUACGACCUCGAUGUUGGAUCAGGACACCCCGGCGGUGCAACCGCUG